Molecule: ribosomal RNA, 1045 nt
Filed under: Leptosporella sp.
Lineage: Eukaryota; Fungi; Ascomycota; Sordariomycetes; Chaetosphaeriales; Leptosporellaceae
Description: eukaryotic LSU rRNA
Rfam family: Eukaryotic large subunit ribosomal RNA (bases 471-1045)
Source: RNAcentral
GUCCUGCUCUAAACCACCGCGAACCUACCACUGUUGCCUCGGCGCGGCGGCCCCCGGACGCGGGGGGCGCCGCGCCGGCGGCCCAACCCACUGAAUUCUCCCCUGGCCGGGCGGCUCUGAGUGAUAUUGAAACAGCCACAACUUUCAGCAACGGAUCUCUUGGCUCUGGCAUCGAUGAAGAACGCAGCGAACUGCGAUACGUAAUGCGAAUUGCAGAAUUCAGUGAGUCAUCGAAUCUUUGAACGCACAUUGCGCCCGCCAGUAUCCUGGCGGGCAUGCCUGUCCGAGCGUCAUUUCGACCCCUCAAGCCCCAGCGCUUGGUGUUGGGGGCCCACGGCAGCCCGUGGCCCCCGGAAAACAGUGGCGGCGGCCCCCGCGGCGCCGGGCGUAGUAGCACACCUCGCCCCGGCGGCCGGGCGCCUUGCCCGCCGUGAAACGCGGCGCUCCCCCCGGGAGCGCCACAGACCGGUUGACCUCGGAUCAGGUAGGAAUACCCGCUGAACUUAAGCAUAUCAAUAAGCGGAGGAAAAGAAACCAACAGGGAUUGCCCCAGUAACGGCGAGUGAAGCGGCAACAGCUCAAAUUUGAAAUCUGGCCCCCGGGCCCGAGUUGUAAUUUGCAGAGGAUGCUUCGGGCGCGGCGCCUUCCGAGUCCCCUGGAACGGGGCGCCACAGAGGGUGAGAGCCCCGUACGGUUGGACGCCUAGCCCGUGUGAAGCUCCUUCGACGAGUCGAGUAGUUUGGGAAUGCUGCUCUAAAUGGGAGGUAAGUUCCUUCUAAAGCUAAAUACCGGCCAGAGACCGAUAGCGCACAAGUAGAGUGAUCGAAAGAUGAAAAGCACUUUGAAAAGAGGGUUAAAUAGCACGUGAAAUUGCUGAAAGGGAAGCGCUCGUGACCAGACGCGCGCCGGGCGGAUCAUCCAGCGUUCUCGCUGGUGCACUCCGCCCGGCGCGGGCCAGCGUCGGUUCUCGCGGGGGGGCAAGGGCGCCGGGAACGUAGCUCCUCCGGGAGCGUUAUAGCCCGCGCUCACGCCCCCGCGGGACCGA